Molecule: RNA transcript, 5416 nt
Organism: Harpia harpyja (harpy eagle)
Lineage: Eukaryota; Metazoa; Chordata; Aves; Accipitriformes; Accipitridae
Gene: METTL2A
Gene name: methyltransferase 2A, methylcytidine
Exons: 10
Source: RefSeq, a predicted model, not a curated record
UGAAAUGAGAAAUAAAAGCCAGGAAAAGCGUUUUUGCCGCCGUGGUGGCCGUUUCCCGCCCAAGGCGGACGCCGCCGUUGCGGCCGUUCCUCUGAGGUAACGGGCGUCCCUUCCCGCUCCCGCCGCGCGCUUCCCGCCUCCGCCCCCCCACGUGACAACGGCGUCCCUCACGUGACCGCCACCGCCCGCCUAGUCCUCUUUCGGGUCGGACGGCGAGACCGUGCUUCCGGUUCCGGCGGCGCUCGGCCCAUCAUGGCGGCGCCCAGAGAGGCGCCGGAGCGGCGGCUCUUCGGGAGGCGCUUCCUCACCGACCCCGCCCGCCUCUUCCAGCACAACGCCUGGGAUAAUGUGGAAUGGUCAGAAGAGCAGGAAGCCAGUGCCAGGAGUAAAGUUCAAGAGAACAGCUCACAGCUAUUGCCACAAGAUAAACAAGAGGAAUACGAGGUGAAUGCUAAGAGGUACUGGGAUGAGUUUUAUAAAAUCCAUGAAAAUGGCUUCUUCAAGGACAGGCACUGGCUGUUCACUGAAUUUCCUGAGCUGGCACCUAACAGGAACCCAAGUCAAAACGGGGAUUCUGUGCAUGAAUUUAGUAACAAAGACGACUCCAACAAUGAAGGGCUGGGAAGCUGUGAAAAUGGACGUUGUUCAUUGGAAACCAGGGCAGAGAAUCAAUUAAACCUGAUAAAAAGCACACCUAAGAUCUGCACAGAGGAGCUGGCUACACAGAAGUACAGUGAGCUGAAUCAAAGUGAUGGAGAUUACCCAGGAUCAUCUGCAUCUUACCGUAUAUUAGAGGUUGGCUGUGGUGCUGGAAAUACAGUCUUCCCAAUUUUACAAACCAACAAUGACCCAGGCCUUUUUGUUUACUGCUGUGAUUUUUCUACAACAGCUGUGGAUCUUGUCCAGAACAAUGCAGAAUAUGAUUCUUCUCGCUGCUUUGCUUUUGUCCAUGACCUGUGCAAUGACCAAAGUCCUUUCCCAAUGCCAGACAAGAGUCUUGAUGUUGUUAUUCUUAUCUUUGUCCUCUCAGCGAUUCUCCCAGAGAAGAUGCAAUGCAUCGUUAAUAGACUGAGUCGCCUUCUGAAACCAGGAGGAAUGAUUUUGUUACGAGAUUAUGGCCGUUACGAUCUGGCCCAGCUUCGGUUUAAGAAAGGUCAAUGUCUGUCUGAUAACUUCUAUGUGAGAGGUGAUGGCACCAGAGUCUACUUCUUCACACAAGAUGAAUUAGAUGAUCUCUUCACAACAGCUGGGCUGGAGAAAAUCCAGAAUCUGGUUGAUCGGCGAUUGCAAGUGAACCGUGGGAAACAAAUGACGAUGUAUCGAGUAUGGAUCCAGUGCAAAUACCGCAAGCCUGCCACCCCUCAGCUGUGAGGAAACGGGGCAUGCUUUUUGGGGUUGAGCCUUUUCGUGGCCAUGUGCAGUGUCUCCUGGUGAAGUGUGGUUUUACAGAGUUCAGCGCACACAGGACCUCAGUGCCUUUUACAGUGCCUAGCAUCACUUCAACAUUCCAGUCUUGCGGUCUGUGGCUUACAGACAAUGCCAACGUAGCUUGUUGAACCUCCCAAGCAGAAGAGAUGAUUUCAUAGCUCUUCAGAGGCGCUGCCCCUGCGAUUCUGGAGCCAGACAUUGUUACACUUCGGAAAGUCUGGUCCUGGCUCUUGCCAGAGGAUGGUGGAUUUCCUUGGAGGUUCGUAGAUUGUUGUGGCUGGAAGGGAACUUUAUCACCAACUAUUCUGACCCUUUGCAUAACCCUUUCGUGUAGGGAUUAUGGCAUCAAGCCUGUGACUUGGGCUGAGCCAGAACUAGUCCUUCAGAAAGGCUUUCGAUCCAGCCAUGAUGCUGAGGGCUCCAGUGAAUGGCAAAGAACCCUUUGCCUCCCCAGGUGCAUUGUUCCUCUCACAGCAUCCUGAUUUCACGAAUCGGCUAGAAACUGGGAGGCAGGAAGGGAACAGGGGAGGAAAAGACCACAAGAGGCUGGGGAGUAUUUCUGAUACCUUCACUUCAAAAAUAAAUAAAUUGUAAAUUCCACUGAAAAUUGGAGCUUUCUCAGGAUCUUCCUGACAUCACAGGAAAGUGGGAAAUGGCAGUCAUCCUUAGUGAUUUUUAUUGUUACAACAGUAAUCAUCAAAUGCUUCUGACCAGAAGCAUGUGAGACCAGACACAAUUGUCUUCUCCCCCAAAUGCUUUAGCUCCACCUUCUCAGGGUAUGUCACCACCAUUUCUAAUUCUGUAGUUAGUUGUAGAGCUCCAGGAUAAAUGAAACGUGAUUAUUUUCAAUAAAACAGGUGUGAGCAGAAGGAACCUUCACGUCUGCAUGCCAGUGGCUUUUGGCAUUGCAUUGUAACUAAAGCUGGAAGAGCUUCCUUUUGUCGUUGGCACUGGGAUGACCCCCAGCUGGUCCCCAGCUGGAUUCCCUGCAGGAAUCGCAGGCCCAGACUGAACUUAACUGUUUUUCCCGAGCACAAAUGAAAGAUGCACAGGUUUCAGAGCCUAGAAGUGAGAGUACAGAUGAGGAUGAGGCCACAGAGAUCAAGUUAUCAAGGGAUUUGGGGAGCAUCCUUCCAUCUCUGUAAAGAUGGAAGGAAAUUGAGUCACGCAGUCUUCUUUGUUCUCCUGAUGAGUCAACUGGAUCUGAUUUGUCAAUCAGAGCACUUUUGGUUUGGUGUCAUAUUGGAGAAAAUUAGUACAGAAGAGAAACGCAUGAUCAGGAUCACUGUUGCUAUUGUAGCUUGACAGGGGUGUGUGCUUGGCACACAUCUUUUGCACAGUGUCCAUAGGAUUCUAACAGUGUUGUCAUAUAUGUUUUCAGGGCAAGACAGAAAUUACUAGAAAAGCGAGGAGGAGGGAGGAAUUUUUUGGAGGACUCUUCUGCAAAGCGAGAUACUCUAGAGGGAAAGGAGUUGUCAGCUCUGUGCUUAAUCAGCAAAGCUCUGGAGUUUGUGCUUAGCUCUUGCUGAAGGCAUUAAGUUCCUGUGCGUAAGUGCCCUGCUGAAUGGGAGCUUGUAUUGCCAAGAAAGUGGGACACAGUGCAGGAAAUUACCUAUAUAGGCAACAGUGAGUGCUAAUGUGAACCAAAUAGGAUACAGCUACCUUCAUUAUGGAGAGCACAAGCCAGACCAGGGAACUUGGCUGGAACACAGGCAGGGAGAAGCAAGAGAAGAGCCAUGUGUGCCUCUGCUUUUACCUCCUGCCCAAAGGCUGUAUGGUAUGACAGGAGGUGUCAUGCCAAUGAAGGCUUUUACUCUUGAAAAUGUGGUCUUUGACCCACAGUUGGAUGAGUGGGAACUGGCUGUGGUUGGAAAGCAUUGUUGGCAAAGAUCGCUAGCAAGUCUAACAUGUCAAGACCUGCCUGGACCUCCCAGAUGUUGGUCCAUGGCUGUUUCCAGGAAGGAAGAACAUCCUGGUGAGGUUUGGACCCUGCUGCUCUAAACUGUGCUCCCUGGUAUUGAAUAACCCCAAAGAGUCUUCACUGCAAGCGCCAACAGAGCAUGUGAACAGCAACUUGAUUUUGGGGUGGAGUGUGAGUGUCACUGCUGUAUUCAGGUUGUUUUAAUGUUUUGUAGUCCAAAGGACCCUUGUAGCUCUUGCAUUUUCAUGUUAUUUGGAGGUUGGGGAGUUCUGGGGGAUUGCAGCCAAUCCUUUGGCCUAUGAAACUUACUUUCCACUGGUGUGAAGUGAGAAGUUGCUGUUUGCAGUCCCGGGUCGCAGAGGCCAGGCUCAGACCUCUGUGGCGUGUGUGGGGAACACUGGGGGAUCUGCUCUGCAGCUGUAAGUGGAGAGGUACCCUGCCACCCUUCUCCAGGGGCACUGGAUGUGGCAUUCCUCAUUGAGAAAGAAAAUUGGCUGAUCUCCCCUCAGACUACUUCUUCAUCCAUGGAACCAAGCACGAGGCAUGGUACUGGGUUCCCCUCAUCUGGGGAGCACCGCUUAGGCAGGUACACUACGCUACAGUCUUUAAUUACACAGCCGCACAUUUUUUUCCACAUUCAGUGCCAAGGGUGGAUGUGAAGAGGUCGAUCAAGGUUGCAUGGAAAACUAAAUCUGGCUUUUCCUCAACUUCAAGUGACUUCUUCCCUACUGAGAUGAGCCUUGUUAUGAAGGUCGGUAUGUAUUUACAUUCACACAGAGGCUGAAUAUACUUACAGAAAUAUGCAUGCAGUAACUCUAGCUUUACAAUAGGAUGUUGAUUUAAUUUUCCUCUUACACAAAUCUCAGAGCAGUUUGUUUAAUUGAGGCUUUCAAAAGCCCUGUAAGGUAGGGUGUUAUUAUGCCCGUUUUAUGCAGGAGGAAGAGAAGCGGGGGGCAAAUCCUGCCGAGAAUAAUACCCUCUUGUAUUCUAGGAAGCUGGUAGUGAGGACAGGGAAGGACUUGCUGGCACAUAAAGGAGAAUCGCAUUGUUUCAGGUGUGUGCAGAAGAAAAAACAGUGGAUUUUGCUAGUACCGUGUGCUUUGAGGAACACGGACGCGAUCACAGAGGUGUUCCUUUCCUACCUGCGAGUCUUCAUUCCCCUCGGCCGGGCCGUAGUGGUUGCGCAGGUCUGGGUGUGCGUGCGCGGCGGGCUGCCUCCUCCGGCAGGCAGGACAUGCACUCAUGGAUGAGGGCACUGAGGUUGUGCUUGGCUCGCUGCAUGUGUGGAGGGUGAGGGACCUGGAUGCUUUCCUACUGGGUUUGGGUAUCAAAGCUUCCCUAAUGGGAUACCUGAAGGUGUAGACAGAGGGAGGGGCAGGAACAACCUCUGAGAUAAACUCCAUUGUGUGGGAGGGUGGAGGCUCUCUGAAUGGCCUCAGGAAGGAGUCAGGUGAUGGCAUGUUAUCUUUGAGUAGCUGAGAUAGGAACUUUCUCCCCUCUAAUGAAAAUGAGGAAAGACCCUUUUAAUGUUCCUAGUGAGGGAAAGGCUGUGCCGGGAGCCCUACCCUUACUAGACGCUCGAGAAUCCACACAAGGGUGAGAUGUUUUGAGUGCCCCAAGUCCAGAAAAAUCUUCACUUGCAACUUGUGCGUCGUUAAGUGCAACAGAAUCUGCUCUGCAGACAAGGGUUGGCCUCUUCUGGAUGUGAUGCCUAGAGGUGAGAUCAUCCCUCGGUGCUAAAACCUUAAGAAACCUGCAGAGUGCUGAACUCUUGUGGGUUGGUUUUGGUUUUUUUUUCUCAAUGGCUGUAAAAUUUUUGGAUUUGAGAUCACUGAUGCCAGCUUUUACGUUUUAAAGGCUCAGGCUAUUUGAUGCUUUUCUCAAGUCCCCAGCUCCCAGUGUCCUGCUAUCACUGAGGAAUCUCAGCUCUCUUUUUUGUGUAUGUGUUAUGUCAAUACAUUUCUAGACCUCAUGGCAGUACAGAAAUGCUGUGAAAAAUGCAGUUAGAGUAUUUCACAAGGCAAAGGAAAGUCACCAAAAUGCAUUAAAUAAAAAGAACAGGAGCUC